RNAcentral lists this ribosomal RNA (253 nucleotides) under uncultured bacterium. RNAcentral's name for it is "partial 16S ribosomal RNA". It matches the Rfam family "Bacterial small subunit ribosomal RNA", at positions 524 to 776 of the family's 1533-position model. The record is from RNAcentral.
GACGUAGGGGGCCAGCGUUGUUCGGAAUUACUGGGUGUAAAGGGUUCGUAGGCGGUGUAGCAAGUCGGGAGUGAAAUCUCUGGGCUUAACCCAGAGGCUGCUUCCGAAACUGCUGUGCUUGAGUGUGGGAGAGGCGCGUGGAAUUGCAGGUGUAGCGGUGAAAUGCGUAGAUAUCUGGAGGAACACCGGUGGCGAAGGCGGCAUUCUGGACUGCAACUGACACUGAGGAACGAAAGCCAGGGGAGCAAACGGG